This 69-nucleotide transfer RNA is filed under the name Platyzosteria sp. AUS3. Its description in RNAcentral is "tRNA-Pro". The record is from RNAcentral. Lineage: Eukaryota; Metazoa; Arthropoda; Insecta; Blattodea; Blattidae.
CAGGGAAUAGUUUAUAUUAAAAUAUUAAUUUUGGAGAUUAAUGUAAGGAUUAUUUGAUCUUUUCUCUGA